CUGUAUGCAAGCCCUUGAUUUCAAGUGCUAUCUGAUAUCAUUUGGAGCCCACUUGCCGGAAGGGACUGGUAUUUUCCCACUUCCGAUUGUUGAUACGGAAAUAGUUAGAUAUAAUUUGAAGGUAUACAACCAUUUCAAAUAACGCUACACUCGGAAAGCCGUGUGUUGUAGAAACCCACAGUGCCUCAGAGGUAUCAAAGAAGGAAAUACGUGUAAUUAAAAGCUAUCAUUUUUUUU
Long non-coding RNA from Nematostella vectensis (starlet sea anemone), 237 nucleotides. RefSeq lists it as uncharacterized. The record is from RefSeq and is a predicted model, not a curated record. The transcript has 2 exons. NCBI's taxonomy places the organism in Eukaryota, Metazoa, Cnidaria, Anthozoa, Actiniaria, Edwardsiidae.